Molecule: ribosomal RNA, 158 nt
Filed under: Lejeunea flava
Lineage: Eukaryota; Viridiplantae; Streptophyta; Jungermanniopsida; Porellales; Lejeuneaceae
Description: 5.8S ribosomal RNA
Rfam family: 5.8S ribosomal RNA
About the family: 5.8S ribosomal RNA (5.8S rRNA) is a component of the large subunit of the eukaryotic ribosome. It is transcribed by RNA polymerase I as part of the 45S precursor that also contains 18S and 28S rRNA.
Source: RNAcentral
CAAAUGACUCUCAGCAACGGAUAUCUUGGCUCUUUGCAACGAUGAAGAACGCAGCGAAAUGCGAUACGUAGUGUGAAUUGCAGAAUUCCGCGAAUCGAGUGCAGUUUUUGAACGCAAGUGCGCCGAGGCUCGUCUGAGGGCAUGCUGCUGAGCGUCGC